UAGGUGUGUUCUUUGUAGGAAAACUUUAUUCUUUUAUUUUAAUAAGGCUAUGACAAUCUCCCGGACACCACACAAGAGGGUACAAAAACAACUUACCUAUGCUGUAUGAAAAGCAGGUAUUUGAA
Molecule: non-coding RNA, 125 nt
Organism: Castor canadensis (American beaver)
Lineage: Eukaryota; Metazoa; Chordata; Mammalia; Rodentia; Castoridae
Source: RefSeq, a predicted model, not a curated record